Molecule: long non-coding RNA, 318 nt
Organism: Xenia sp. Carnegie-2017
Lineage: Eukaryota; Metazoa; Cnidaria; Anthozoa; Malacalcyonacea; Xeniidae
Exons: 3
Source: RefSeq, a predicted model, not a curated record
UAAUUGAGAGAUCAUCUGAAUUCAUUUGUUAUACAUUUUCGCAUUCCCAUAAAAAUGGAGAAAAGAGCAGUUGCAAAUGGUUUGCUGUGCAGACAAAUUUUUGUUAUUCUCAUUCCGUAUCUCAUGUGGAGUGUGACUAAAGCAGAAAAAUGCUACGAAGAGGAUUUAUUUGUGAAGGUUGCCAAAGACCAUUGUCUGGCUAACGGUAUUAAGAAUAAAAACUACGUAAGAAGCUUGUUUGAGUGCGUUCACUUGUGUGUGAAUGAAAGGCCGAAGUGCAAGUCCUUCAAUUUCUGUGAAGACAAAUUAACUUGUGAA